Molecule: ribosomal RNA, 492 nt
Filed under: uncultured bacterium
Lineage: Bacteria
Description: partial 16S ribosomal RNA
Rfam family: Bacterial small subunit ribosomal RNA
Source: RNAcentral
AGUGAACGCUGGCGGUAGGCCUAACACAUGCAAGUCGAACGGCAGCACAGUAAGAGCUUGCUCUUACGGGUGGCGAGUGGCGGACGGGUGAGGAAUACAUCGGAAUCUACUUUUUCGUGGGGGAUAACGUAGGGAAACUUACGCUAAUACCGCAUACGACCUACGGGGGAAAGCAGGGGAUCUUCGCACCUUGCGCGAUUGAAUGAGCCGAUGUCGGAUUAGCUAGUUGGCGGGGUAAAGGCCCACCAAGGCGACGAUCCGUAGCUGGUCUGAGAGGAUGAUCAGCCACACUGGAACUGAGACACGGUCCAGACUCCUACGGGAGGCAGCAGUGGGGAAUAUUGGACAAUGGGCGCAAGCCUGAUCCAGCCAUACCGCGUGGGUGAAGAAGGCCUUCGGGUUGUAAAGCCCUUUUGUUGGGAAAGAAAAGCAGCAGGUUAAUACCCCGCUGUUCUGACGGUACCCAAAGAAUAAGCACCGGCUAACUUCGUG